AUGAAUAUGACAUUUUUUGAAAACUGUCUUGAAUUUUGAUAUUGAAGAAAUGAAAAAAAUUCAAUUUGUGUAAAAACUCAUGUUUUACUGUUAUUGCAAGGAUCUUUAGAUGCUUUACUUAAAGCUGACAUUUUAAAAUAUGGCAACAGUUAAUGACGAUGACAAUCACUGAAUAAUCCAUCAAUAUUUAUUCAAAUCAACAGUUAUUAAAAAGCAUAUUCUGCUCAAAAUACUAGUGUAUAUUUUAACAAACCUUUUUAAUAAUAUACUUUGCUUCUCAUAGCAAAGUGUAACAAUGACAAAAAUUUGGGAACGUACAAACCUCUCUGUGGUUAGCUCUAAAUCAAAAUCUGACCAGAUCAAAAUUAUUUUAGAGUUUUUCAGGUAUACGCACCUAGAACAUCAAAUAUAGACAAAGAAGACAAGAGAAAGUUAGAUUCUUUUUACUCGUGAGAACGGACAGAGAUGUGUUUCAGUUACAAUCUCUGCCUAUUCUAAAAACACAUUCUGCCGCAUUUCUCUUUUUACUGAAAAAGACGUCCCUAUUACAUUGAGCUCUACAGGGUAAAAAGGAGGAAACAAAAACAUAUAAUUCAGUUUCAUAAGAUAAACUAGAACAUUUACUACGACAGUAUGACUGUGUAAGGCUAAUAAGCACCAUUACGCUUUAAAUUAUCCUAUUAUAAACAUGAAGAAUAGGAUGUCCUUCUGCUGAGCAGCCGUCUGAUUAGAACAAGCUGGCGCCGGCUGUCUCUGCAUCCUUCAACAUACUCAGAAAUAUAGUUAAAGGAAUUCAGAAUAUGCAAUGUUUAAGCAAAUGUCUGAUAAAUGUAUACAAUUUCUCCAACAGAUUUUUUUCAAACAAACAUCAGAGUUUUAUUUAUGGAAAAACAAGAACAUUUCACUGCUUUCAUUUCUAAAGUAUUUUACAUCCAGUCAUACACAGAAACUUCAAAUAAAAGCUAAACUCAAUUAUUCUACAUGGUACAGAACUCCAUGAAAACUGAAAUGCACAGAAAUUAAUCCUGUCUGAAUGUGUUCCCCUCUUUAACUUCAGUAUCUAAUGGGAUACUGAUGGGGAUCUUAAGUACAAAUACGACUGAGAAUUAAAACAAAAAACUGGAUUAAGGAAAACAAGCUGCUAGGCAAAAGUAGACCUCAGGUUUAUCUUGGUCAGACAGUGAAAGACACAAUCACAGUGAAUCACUAGCAGCCUGCAAGAAUCUGUUGACUUUAAUAUGUUCAACUUGCUGUUUACAUCAUCCAACCAGGUUUUCUUUUGGAUCUGAUGCCAAAACGGAUCUGAGGUGUUUCCUACCUAAGGCUUCUAGUCUGAGUGAAUCCUUAUGUGACGAGUUAAAUUAUGUCUAUAACUGUAACUCUUUCCACAGGUCCCACAGGAGAAAGGUUUCUCACCUGCGUGAAUUCUCAUGUGCUUAGUUAAAGUCCUACUAUCAGCAUAACUUUUUCCACAGGUCCCACAGGAGAAAGGCUUCUCAGCAGUGUGAAUUCUCACGUGAACAUUUAAAUAACCUUUUCGAGAGAAACUCUUUCCACAGGUCCCACAGGAGAAAGGCUUCUCACCUCUGUGAAUUCUCAUGUGACGAGUUAAAGUCCCACUAUCAGCGUAACUUUUUCCACAGGUCCCACAGGAGAAAG
Long non-coding RNA from Xiphophorus couchianus (Monterrey platyfish), 1659 nucleotides. RefSeq lists it as uncharacterized. The record is from RefSeq and is a predicted model, not a curated record. Lineage: Eukaryota; Metazoa; Chordata; Actinopteri; Cyprinodontiformes; Poeciliidae. The transcript is spliced from 3 exons.